RNAcentral lists this ribosomal RNA (495 nucleotides) under uncultured bacterium. RNAcentral describes it as "partial 16S ribosomal RNA". It matches the Rfam family "Bacterial small subunit ribosomal RNA", at positions 28 to 507 of the family's 1533-position model. The record is from RNAcentral.
GACGAACGCUGGCGGCGUGCCUAAUACAUGCAAGUAGAACGCUGAAGGAGGAGCUUGCUUCUCUGGAUGAGUUGCGAACGGGUGAGUAACGCGUAGGUAACCUGCCUGGUAGUGGGGGAUAACUAUUGGAAACGAUAGCUAAUACCGCAUAACAGCAGCCGUUCCAUGAUAACUGUUCGAAAGGUGCACUUGCACCGCUACCACACGGACCUGCGUUGUAUUAGCUAGUUGGGGGGGUAACGGCUCACCAAGGCGACGAUACAUAGCCGACCUGAGAGGGUGAUCGGCCACACUGGGACUGGGACAGGGCCCAGACGCCUACGGGAGGCAGCAGUAGGGAAGCGUCGGCAAUGGACGGAAGUCUGACCGAGCAACGCCGCGUGAGUGAAGAAGGGUUUCGGAUCGUAAAGCUCUGUUGUAAGGGAAGAACGAGUGUGAGAGUGGAAAGUUCACACUGUGACGGUAUCUGACCAGAAAGGGACGGCUAACUACGUG